Rattus norvegicus (Norway rat) is the source of this 71-nucleotide non-coding RNA. Lineage: Eukaryota; Metazoa; Chordata; Mammalia; Rodentia; Muridae. The record is from Rfam.
CUUUCCUGUAUAUUUCAUAAUCUUCUUUCAAAGCCACACAUUUCUUUCAGACAUCGCCAAGAAUACAAUUC